Molecule: ribosomal RNA, 486 nt
Filed under: uncultured bacterium
Lineage: Bacteria
Description: bacterial SSU rRNA
Rfam family: Bacterial small subunit ribosomal RNA
Source: RNAcentral
CAGUCUGUCUUAAAAGUUCGGGGCUUAACCCCGUGAUGGGAUGGAAACUGCUGAUCUAGAGUAUCGGAGAGGAAAGUGGAAUUCCUAGUGUAGCGGUGAAAUGCGUAGAUAUUAGGAAGAACACCAGUGGCGAAGGCGACUUUCUGGACGAAAACUGACGCUGAGGCGCGAAAGCCAGGGGAGCGAACGGGAUUAGAUACCCCGGUAGUCCUGGCCGUAAACGGUGGGUACUAGGUGUAGGAGGUAUCGACCCCUUCUGUGCCGGAGUUAACGCAAUAAGUACCCCGCCUGGGGAGUACGACCGCAAGGUUGAAACUCAAAGGAAUUGACGGGGGCCCGCACAAGCGGUGGAGUAUGUGGUUUAAUUCGACGCAACGCGAAGAACCUUACCAGGUCUUGACAUUGAUGGACAGAACUAGAGAUAGUUCCUCUUCUUCGGAAGCCAGAAAACAGGUGGUGCACGGUUGUCGUCAGCUCGUGUCGUGA